This 488-nucleotide ribosomal RNA is filed under the name uncultured bacterium. Its description in RNAcentral is "bacterial SSU rRNA". It matches the Rfam family "Bacterial small subunit ribosomal RNA", at positions 39 to 518 of the family's 1533-position model. The record is from RNAcentral.
AGCGACAGGCCUAACAACAUGCAAGUCGAGGGGCGAGCACAAGGAGCAAUCUGAGGUGGCGACCGGCGCACGGGUGAGUAACACGUAUGCAACCUGCCUGUAAGCGGGGAAUAACCCGUUGAAAGACGGACUAAUACCGCAUAAUACUAAAUUACUGCAUGGUAAUUUAUUUAAACAUUUAUGGCUUACAGAUGGGCAUGCGCAUGAUUAGCUAGUUGGAGAGGUAACGGCUCCCCAAGGCAACGAUCAUUAGGGGUUCUGAGAGGAAGGUCCCCCCACACUGGUACUGAGACACGGACCAGACUCCUACGGGAGGCAGCAGUGAGGAAUAUUGGUCAAUGGACGAGAGUCUGAACCAGCCAAGUCGCGUGCAGGAAGAAUGUCCUAUGGAUUGUAAACUGCUUUUGCAGGGGAAUAAAGUGCAUCACGUGUGAUGUUUUGUAUGUACUCUGCGAAUAAGGAUCGGCUAACUCCGUGCCAGCAGCCGC